Molecule: regulatory RNA element, 121 nt
Organism: Pediococcus argentinicus
Lineage: Bacteria; Bacillati; Bacillota; Bacilli; Lactobacillales; Lactobacillaceae
Rfam family: Ribosomal protein L10 leader
About the family: This family is a putative r-protein leader autoregulatory structure found in B. subtilis and other low-GC Gram-positive bacteria.
Source: Rfam
UUAUAACUGAAUAAUUUACCUAAGACUCAGGUGGUCUUGUUAGACCUUAAUAUUACCUGCCGAGGAACGUAUAAAAUUUAUCCGUGUCCUCGUAUGAGAACACGGAUUUUUUGUUCUUACA